AAGUCAGGUGUGAAAGACGAGGGCUCAACCAUCGCAGUGCCGUUGAUACUGGCGAUCUUGAAUGUACGUGAGGUAGGCGGAAUGUGACAAGUAGCGGUGAAAUGCAUAGAUAUGUCACAGAACACCGAUUGCGAAGGCAGCUUACUAAAGUAUGAUUGACGCUGAGGCACGAAAGCGUGGGGAUCAAACA
This 190-nucleotide ribosomal RNA is filed under the name uncultured bacterium. Its description in RNAcentral is "partial 16S ribosomal RNA". It matches the Rfam family "Bacterial small subunit ribosomal RNA", at positions 585 to 774 of the family's 1533-position model. The record is from RNAcentral.